CCUACGGGUGGCAGCAGUGGGGAAUAUUGCGCAAUGGGCGAAAGCCUGACGCAGUGACGCCGCGUGAGGGAUGAAGGUCUUCGGAUCGUAAACCUCUGUCAGCAGGGAAGAACGGUCACUGUGCUAAUCAUCAGUGAAUUGACGGUACCUGCAAAGGAAGCACCGGCUAACUCCGUGCCAGCAGCCGCGGUAAUACGGAGGGUGCGAGCGUUAAUCGGAAUUACUGGGCGUAAAGCGCGCGUAGGCGGUAUGUCAAGUCAAGGGUGAAAUCCCCGGGCUCAACGUGGGAACUGCCUUUGAAACUGGCAGACUGGAGUAUGUGAGAGGAUAGUGGAAUUCCAGGUGUAGGAGUGAAAUCCGUAGAUAUCUGGAGGAACAUCAGUGGCGAAGGCGACUAUCUGGCACAUAACUGACGCUGAGGAGCGAAAGCGUGGGUAGCAAACAGGAUUAGAUACCCCAGUAGUC
This 465-nucleotide ribosomal RNA is filed under the name uncultured bacterium. RNAcentral's name for it is "partial 16S ribosomal RNA". It matches the Rfam family "Bacterial small subunit ribosomal RNA", at positions 338 to 795 of the family's 1533-position model. The record is from RNAcentral.